RNAcentral lists this ribosomal RNA (350 nucleotides) under uncultured bacterium. Its description in RNAcentral is "bacterial SSU rRNA". It matches the Rfam family "Bacterial small subunit ribosomal RNA", at positions 28 to 377 of the family's 1533-position model. The record is from RNAcentral.
GACGAACGCUGGCGGCGUGCUUAACACAUGCAAGUCGAGCGGUAAGGGCCCUUUCGGGGGUACACGAGCGGCGAACGGGUGAGUAACACGUGGGUGACCUGCCCUUAGCUCUGGGAUAAGCCUGGGAAACUGGGUCUAAUACCGGAUAUGACUCCAUAACGCAUGUUGUGGGGUGGAAAGCCUUGUGCGGCUAGGGAUGGGGCCCGCGGCCUAUCAGCUUGUUGGUGGGGUGAUGGCCUACCAAGGCGACGACGGGUAGCCGGCCUGAGAGGGCGACCGGCCACACUGGGACUGAGACACGGCCAGACUCCUACGGGAGGCAGCAGGUGGGGAAUCUUGCGCAAUGGGCG